RNAcentral lists this unclassified non-coding RNA (422 nucleotides) under Hevea brasiliensis (rubber tree). Lineage: Eukaryota; Viridiplantae; Streptophyta; Magnoliopsida; Malpighiales; Euphorbiaceae. The record is from RNAcentral.
AUACAAUUUAAAAAUAAGAAGGAAAGAAAAGCAUUAAUAUAUUUUUUUGUUGGAUUUUCAAUCAUUUUAUUUUUUGUACUAUUCAGAGGAGUUUUACACAGAAGUCAAGGAGGAAACAGGUGUAAGAAUUUCUUACUUCAUAUAUUUUCCCCAUAAUUCAUAAAUAAUAUGUUAUUGCUUCAUUUUUCUAGCUAGGUAAGUCUAAAUCGAAUCUUCAUGUACUACAGCUGAUUGAAGUGUAAUAACAGCAAACAACAACACAUAUUUAAUGAAUAGACACGAGCCAAGCUAAAACAAAUUCAAUUCAUAACAAACAAUUGCUAGUAAGCUAUAACAUACCUCAAGAUUAGUUAUCGAUAAGUAAACAAUUCAACAGUUCUCUCCCUUGUUCAGUGGUGCUGGGUGGCUUGGGUUUCUUCAGA